UGAGGAAUAUUGGUCAAUGGACGCAAGUCUGAACCAGCCAAGUAGCGUGCAGGAUGACGGCCCUAUGGGUUGUAAACUGCUUUUAUAUGGGGAUAAAGUGGGGAACGUGUUCCCUUUUGCAGGUACCAUAUGAAUAAGGACCGGCUAAUUCCGUGCCAGCAGCCGCGGUAAUACGGAAGGUUCGGGCGUUAUCCGGAUUUAUUGGGUUUAAAGGGAGCGUAGGCCGUUUGGUAAGCGUGUUGUGAAAUGUAGGAGCUCAACUUCUAGAUUGCAGCGCGAACUGUCAGACUUGAGUGCGCACAACGUAGGCGGAAUUCAUGGUGUAGCGGUGAAAUGCUUAGAUAUGACGAGGAACUCCGAUUGCGAAGGCAGCUGACGGGAGCGGCACUGACGCUUAAGCUCGAAGGUGCGGGUAUCAAACAGG
This 424-nucleotide ribosomal RNA is filed under the name Verrucomicrobiota bacterium. RNAcentral describes it as "Verrucomicrobia bacterium partial 16S ribosomal RNA". It matches the Rfam family "Bacterial small subunit ribosomal RNA", at positions 355 to 776 of the family's 1533-position model. The record is from RNAcentral. Lineage: Bacteria; Pseudomonadati; Verrucomicrobiota.